GUGCUCGCUUUGGCAGCACAUAGACUGAAAUUGGAAUAAUAUAUGGAGAUUAGCAUGGCCCCAGCGCAAGGAUGUACAUCACUGCUUGGGGAACCUCAUAUAAGU
This is a small nuclear RNA of Mustela putorius furo (domestic ferret), 105 nucleotides long. NCBI's taxonomy places the organism in Eukaryota, Metazoa, Chordata, Mammalia, Carnivora, Mustelidae. The record is from Ensembl.